RNAcentral lists this transfer RNA (65 nucleotides) under Parapolybia flava. RNAcentral's name for it is "tRNA-Tyr". Lineage: Eukaryota; Metazoa; Arthropoda; Insecta; Hymenoptera; Vespidae. The record is from RNAcentral.
AACAUUAUGUCUGAUUUAAGUAAUAAAUUGUAAAUUUAUUUAAGAAAUUUUUAUUUCUAAUGUUU